ACGAACGCUGGCGGCAUGCCUAACACAUGCAAGUCGAACGAAGGCUUCGGCCUUAGUGGCGCACGGGUGCGUAACGCGUGGGAAUCUGCCCUUGGGUUCGGAAUAACAGUUAGAAAUGACUGCUAAUACCGGAUGAUGUCGCCAAAGAGAUUUGGGGACCAAAGAUUUAUCGCCCAGGGAUGAGCCCGCGUAGGAUUAGGUAGUUGGUGGGGUAAAGGCCUACCAAGCCGACGAUCCUUAGCUGGUCUGAGAGGAUGAUCAGCCACACUGGGACUGAGACACGGCCCAGACUCCUACGGGAGGCAGCAGUGGGGAAUAUUGGACAAUGGGCGAAAGCCUGAUCCAGCAAUGCCGCGUGAGUGAUGAAGGCCUUAGGGUCGUAAAGCUCUUUUACCAGGGAUGAUAAUGACAGUACCUGGAGAAUAAGCUCCGGCUAACUCCGU
RNAcentral lists this ribosomal RNA (443 nucleotides) under uncultured bacterium. Its description in RNAcentral is "bacterial SSU rRNA". It matches the Rfam family "Bacterial small subunit ribosomal RNA", at positions 29 to 506 of the family's 1533-position model. The record is from RNAcentral.